This 820-nucleotide ribosomal RNA is filed under the name uncultured bacterium. RNAcentral's name for it is "bacterial SSU rRNA". It matches the Rfam family "Bacterial small subunit ribosomal RNA", at positions 8 to 810 of the family's 1533-position model. The record is from RNAcentral.
AGAGUUUGAUCCUGGCUCAGGAUGAACGCUGGCGGCGUGCCUAAUACAUGCAAGUCGAGCGAACAGACGAGGAGCUUGCUCCUCUGACGUUAGCGGCGGACGGGUGAGUAACACGUGGAUAACCUACCUAUAAGACUGGGAUAACUUCGGGAAACCGGAGCUAAUACCGGAUAAUAUAUUGAACCGCAUGGUUCAAUAGUGAAAGACGGUUUUGCUGUCACUUAUAGAUGGAUCCGCGCCGCAUUAGCUAGUUGGUAAGGUAACGGCUUACCAAGGCAACGAUGCGUAGCCGACCUGAGAGGGUGAUCGGCCACACUGGAACUGAGACACGGUCCAGACUCCUACGGGAGGCAGCAGUAGGGAAUCUUCCGCAAUGGGCGAAAGCCUGACGGAGCAACGCCGCGUGAGUGAUGAAGGUCUUCGGAUCGUAAAACUCUGUUAUUAGGGAAGAACAAAUGUGUAAGUAACUAUGCACGUCUUGACGGUACCUAAUCAGAAAGCCACGGCUAACUACGUGCCAGCAGCCGCGGUAAUACGUAGGUGGCAAGCGUUAUCCGGAAUUAUUGGGCGUAAAGCGCGCGUAGGCGGUUUUUUAAGUCUGAUGUGAAAGCCCACGGCUCAACCGUGGAGGGUCAUUGGAAACUGGAAAACUUGAGUGCAGAAGAGGAAAGUGGAAUUCCAUGUGUAGCGGUGAAAUGCGCAGAGAUAUGGAGGAACACCAGUGGCGAAGGCGACUUUCUGGUCUGUAACUGACGCUGAUGUGCGAAAGCGUGGGGAUCAAACAGGAUUAGAUACCCUGGUAGACCACGCCGUAAACGAU